RNAcentral lists this ribosomal RNA (93 nucleotides) under Photobacterium iliopiscarium. Its description in RNAcentral is "partial 23S ribosomal RNA". RNAcentral also lists the same sequence under 1 other name. Lineage: Bacteria; Pseudomonadati; Pseudomonadota; Gammaproteobacteria; Vibrionales; Vibrionaceae. The record is from RNAcentral.
CGUUGAUAGGUCAGGUGUGUAAGUGCUGCGAGGCAUUGAGCUAACUGAUACUAAUUGCCCGUGAGGCUUAACCAUACAACACCCAAGGGGUUU